This 72-nucleotide transfer RNA is filed under the name Felis catus (domestic cat). It matches the Rfam family "tRNA". From Rfam's summary of the family: Transfer RNA (tRNA) molecules are approximately 80 nucleotides in length. Their secondary structure includes four short double-helical elements and three loops (D, anti-codon, and T loops). The record is from Rfam by way of RNAcentral. Lineage: Eukaryota; Metazoa; Chordata; Mammalia; Carnivora; Felidae.
UCCCAGUUGGCUCAGUGAGUAGAGCACGCGGCUCUUGAUCCCGGGGUGUGAGUUCAAGCCCCAUACUGGGUG